Long non-coding RNA from Lathyrus oleraceus (garden pea), 2453 nucleotides. RefSeq lists it as uncharacterized. The transcript has 4 exons. NCBI's taxonomy places the organism in Eukaryota, Viridiplantae, Streptophyta, Magnoliopsida, Fabales, Fabaceae. The record is from RefSeq and is a predicted model, not a curated record.
GUAUGCAUCAUAUUUUCUUGCAUUUUACAUAACCCUUUUUAAAUAUAUUUUUGGUUAAAUGAAUUAUUUUAUUAUUAAAGAUUUAUGAGGAGUUAUUAAGAAGAUUAAAACCACAAAAGAUCAAGUAAAUAACUUAUCUACUGGAGAACGUGUAAUUGUGCACUUUGAUGACCAAGGUGCUGCAUAUGGCGAAGCACAAGGCUUGCUUGCUGGAUAUUGUGGAAUAUUAGAAAUUGAUGGUAACUUGUUUCCAAUAAGUUUUGAUAGAUGGUUUGGACCACCACCAUCAGGCAUGCCAAAAUGUUAUUUUGAAGAUUGCUCUAAAACAGACAUAAAGCCUCAAUUUUGUUUUAGGACUACUGAAGCUCUUGCAGAGCGAUAUUGUCGGCUCAGCAUUGGGAAAAAGUGGGCUUCCCAUAGGCAAAGAUUAUGGGAUGAAUUCUAUAAUCCAGCCUUAGCAAGAGAUGAAAUUGUAUCUAAUGUACCACUCGGUGUAGAUAAAACUCAAUGGGCUUUAUUUGUCAACUAUCAUCUAAAACCAUCUACGAAGAAAUAAGGAAAUACGUAGUAAGCAAAUGGUUCCUCAUACCGGUGGUUCUAAACCACUCUCACGAAAAAGACAUGAAAUGGAAUAAAUUGAAGUGGGUUUGACUCAAAGCACUAAUGAUGAAUCUAUAGUUUCUCCUAAUGAUGUUAUUGCUAAAAUUUUGGGGCCUGAGCAUCCUGGAAGAGUGCGAUGUUUAGGUAUGGGAGCAACACCUAGUUAUACAUUUAGAAAUACCAGAUUUCGACUUUCAGACUCAGGUACUUCAUAUGGUAUUUCUACAUCACCAUCUAAAUUUUGGCAAGAGAAGUACACACAUUUGGAAUCUUGUCUUAAGAAUAUCACAGGAGCAUUUAAAGCUUAUAUAAUAAUGAAAGAAGGAAGGAUCCCUAAUGAGUUAGUUGGUGUCUUUGGUCCAUCAAAUGUGAGUAUUUUAUAUAAACUUUACGUUGAAUACUAAACUAUUAUGUUUUGUUGAAAUAACUAAUUUUUCUAAAUAAUAAUUUUAGAUUUUGUAUCUUAUUACAUUGAAGUAGUUGUAAUUUGGGAGUAUAUUUAUAUAUCUAUUAUGCAUUUGCAAAGAAAAUUAGUUGCAAUUUAAAAUAUUUUAACCAAGUUUUUUUCAGCCAGCCAAUGUCGCAGGUGAGUCAGAUUUAUCAAAGAAUGUAACGGAACCUAAUUCACCAAUGGAUGCAAGUGAGUCUGAUUUACCAAUAGAUGCAAGAGAAACGUCUGGUGCUAGCAACAUUAGGAUGUGGCGACAUUACUUGUAUGGAGUGUGUUUUGAGAUGUUCAGCGAUCACAAGAGUUUGAAAUACUUAUUUGACCAGAAAGAGUUAAAUAUGAGACAGAGGAGAUGGAUGGAGUAUUUGAAGGACUUUGAUUUUGAGCUUAAGUAUCACCCGGUGAAAGUGAAUAAGGUUGCAGAUGCCUUAAGUCGGAAAGAGAUGCAUAAAGCUGAGUUGAUGAUGUAAGAAUACGAAUUAUUGGAAAAGUUCCGAGAUCUUAAUCUUCAGUUUAGUUGGACGCAAGAUGGUGUGAUAAUGGGAAAUUUGAAUGUUACUUCUAACCUAAGGGAAUAAACCCGACAAGGACAAAUGAUAGAUGGGCAGUUGCAAGAGAUGUCGACUCAACCAGGUUUUGCUCGGUCACCGGAUGGACUUAUUCUAUUUAAUCAAAGGAUUUGUGUUCUGAAUGAUGCCGAGUUGAAAAGAAAAGUUCUAGAGGAGGGCCACAAGGGGGCAUUUACCAUACAUACAAGUUCUUCAAAGAUGUAUCAAAACUUGAAGAGGGACUACCGGUGGCCUGGAAUGAAGAGGGAUAUUGCAGAGUAUGUGUCGGAAUGCAUAGUAUUCUAGCAAGUAAAGAUCGACCAUCAGAAGCCAGGUGAUUUAUUGCAACCUUUAGAGAUUCCAGUUUGGAAAUGAGAUAGUAUUUCAAUGGAUUUUGCAGUAGGGUUACCUCGUGCCCAAGGUGGUUAUGAUUCAAUUUGGGUGAUUGUGGAUCGGUUAACUAAGUCCGCGCACUUCUUGGCCGUGAAGACUACUUACAUGACAAGUCAUCUUGCAUGGUUGUUCAUUUCAGGAAUCGUGAGACCGCAUGGUGUUCCAACUAGUAUUGUGUCCAAUAUAGACCCAAAGUUUAGUUCAAGAUUUUGGAAGGCAUUCCAACAAGCUAUGGGAUCGAAGUUGUGUUUGAGUACGUCUAAUCAUCCCCAAACGGAUGGUCAGACUGAACGGACGAUACAGACACUGAAAGAUAUGUUAAGAGCUUGUGUACUUGAAAGUGGAUAGAAUUGGAAGGAGCUCUUACCAUUGAUUGACGUCGCAUAUAACAAUAGUUAUCAUGCAAGUGUAGGGAUGACUCCUUAUGAAGCCUUGUAUGGACGGAAAUGUAGAACACCUCUAUG